Molecule: ribosomal RNA, 563 nt
Filed under: Dujonia zeylanoides
Lineage: Eukaryota; Fungi; Ascomycota; Pichiomycetes; Serinales; Debaryomycetaceae
Description: [Candida] zeylanoides partial large subunit ribosomal RNA
Rfam family: Eukaryotic large subunit ribosomal RNA
Source: RNAcentral
AUGCCUCAGUAACGGCGAGUGAGCGGCAAAGCUCAAAUUUGAAAUCUAGCACUUUCAGUGUUCGAGUUGGUAAUUUGAAGAAGGUAACUUUGGUUUUGGCUCUUGUCUAUGUUCCUUGGAACAGGACGUCACAGAGGGUGAGAAUCCCGUGCGAUGAGAUGCCCAAUUCCAUGUAAAGUGCUUUCGAAGAGUCGAGUUGUUUGGGAAUGCAGCUCUAAGUGGGUGGUAAAUUCCAUCUAAAGCUAAAUAUUGGCGAGAGACCGAUAGCGAACAAGUACAGUGAUGGAAAGAUGAAAAGAACUUUGAAAAGAGAGUGAAAAAGUACGUGAAAUUGUUGAAAGGGAAGGGCUUGAGAUCAGACUUGGUAUUUUGCGUUCCCUUCCUUUUUGGUUGGGUUCCUCGCAGUUUACUGGGCCAGCAUCGGUUUGGAUGGUAGGAUAAUGACAUUGGAAUGUAGCUUUACUUCGGUGAAGUGUUAUAGACUUUGUUGAUACUGCCUAUCUAGACCGAGGACUGCGUCUUUGACUAGGAUGCUGGCGUAAUGAUCUUAAGCCGCCCGUCUC